RNAcentral lists this ribosomal RNA (692 nucleotides) under Pselaphogenius sp. JP-2014. RNAcentral's name for it is "bacterial SSU rRNA". It matches the Rfam family "Eukaryotic small subunit ribosomal RNA", at positions 1144 to 1787 of the family's 1831-position model. Lineage: Eukaryota; Metazoa; Arthropoda; Insecta; Coleoptera; Staphylinidae. The record is from RNAcentral.
UUAAAGGAAUUGACGGAAGGGCACCACCAGGAGUGGAGCCUGCGGCUUAAUUUGACUCAACACGGGGAACCUCACCAGGUCCGGACAUGAUUGCGAUGGACAGAUCGAUAGCUCUUUCUAGAUCUCAUGGAUGGUGGUGCAUGGCCGUUCUUAGUUCGUGGAGCGAUUUGUCUGGUUAAUUCCGAUAACGAGCGAGACUCUACCUUACUAACUAAGACGUACGAUAUACGCGAGGUUCGUUGUUCGGCGUGUUUGCUUCACGUGUCCGUUUCGGCGGUGCGUGGGCGGCGCAUCGGCGCGAGCCAUGCUAUCGGCGCAAAUGUUUUCUUCUUAGAAGAACAAGCUAUACAUAGUAGCACGAAAGAGAGCAAUAACAGGUCUGUGAUGCCCUUAGAUGUCCUGGGCCGCACGCGUGCGACAAUGAAAGAGUCAAUAGGUGUCCUUGGCCGAAACGUCCGGGUAAUCCUAGCAAUCUCUUUCGUGUUGGGGAUUGGGGCUUGAAAGUGCUUCCCAUGAACGAGGAAUUCCCAGUAAGCGUAGUUGAUCAAUCUACGCUGAUUGAGUCCCUGCCCUUUGUACACACCGCCCGUCGCUACUACCGAUGAGCGGGCUAGCGAGAUCUUCGGACUGGCGCCUCGCAAGAGGUCGUUACCAGAAAGUCGAUCAAACUUGCCCGUUUAGAGGAAGUAAAA